Molecule: transfer RNA, 73 nt
Filed under: Trachymyrmex septentrionalis
Lineage: Eukaryota; Metazoa; Arthropoda; Insecta; Hymenoptera; Formicidae
Rfam family: tRNA
About the family: Transfer RNA (tRNA) molecules are approximately 80 nucleotides in length. Their secondary structure includes four short double-helical elements and three loops (D, anti-codon, and T loops). Further hydrogen bonds mediate the characteristic L-shaped molecular structure. tRNAs have two regions of fundamental functional importance: the anti-codon, which is responsible for specific mRNA codon recognition, and the 3' end, to which the tRNAs corresponding amino acid is attached (by aminoacyl-tRNA synthetases). tRNAs cope with the degeneracy of the genetic code in two manners: having more than one tRNA (with a specific anti-codon) for a particular amino acid; and 'wobble' base-pairing, i.e. permitting non-standard base-pairing at the 3rd anti-codon position.
Source: Rfam by way of RNAcentral
GUUUCAGUAGUCUAAAGGUUUAGGACGCUCGCACGGAAUGCAAGAGAUCCGGGUUCGAUUCCUGGCUGAGACA